Molecule: long non-coding RNA, 1029 nt
Filed under: Nicotiana benthamiana
Lineage: Eukaryota; Viridiplantae; Streptophyta; Magnoliopsida; Solanales; Solanaceae
Description: long non-coding RNA (NBEN_LNC035518)
Source: RNAcentral
GUGAAAUGGGGGUUGUUCUUUUUCUCGCUUCACGCUAUUUUUAACACUGCUCUAACCAUGUGAAUGCCAGCAGCUAAAAAGAUCUUUAACAAAAGUAGGCACUCUAACCAUGUGAAUGCCAGCAGCCGAAAAGAUCUUUAACAGAAGUAGGCAUCACUGAACAAUCCAAAGGAUGUUAGAGAGAUAAGCUUUGCGGAAGUACAUAAAAGGUGCCCUGAUGUUUCCACACCCCUCUCACAUGAGACACCUGCCACAUAAAUUCAUUCCCCUCUUCAUCAGAUUCCGUUUGACCUGUAGAUCAUGGGUUAGAGCCGUCAGCCACUAAUGCUUGCAUUAGGGUAGACUAUCUACAUCACACCCCUUAGGGUGCGGCACUUCCCCGGGCCCUAUGCGAACACGGGAUACCUUCUGCACCGGCUGUCUUUCAUUGAUGAGUCAAUAGACUCAAUAUCGCACCAUGGGCUCAACAGAAACAGCCUAGCUUAUAUGGAGACCUUGUUCUCUGGAUUCUUCUCCAUGGCCAUGGCCACUCUACUGUGUUGAUUGAAGAGGCUACCAAGCUUUUGGAGCGGCUAUUAACAGAGGAAAUAGCAUUUCUUGAGAACCAAAUUAAAGUAUCAGAUUCCCCAACUAACUCCCAGGGCUUCCAACUCUUCCCAAACAGUUGCAGCACCCAUUGAAACCCCCAAUCAUUAUAAUCCCUUAUAAAUCUAAUAGUCCACCCAAACUAGUGCCCAGUGGCAUCAGCAUGUUCAGCAAAUCUGGAAUUUGAUCUUGUAAAGGUGUGUGAUCCGUCCAUGUGUCAUGCCAAUUAAUUUUCCAUUUACCAAUUUUAACUUGAACACAGCAAAGAACAUCCCAAUGUUCUGUGAUGUGCUUUCAAACCCCAAUUCCAUAAGGUCUCUGAACCACUUUAGGGUACCACGGGUCUCAUGGGUCGUGGGCCUCGUGACCCUAUUUUUCUACCAAAACUUUUCUCCAAAGAGCCCCUUCUCCAAAAUUGAACCUCCAAAGUGAUUUGUACAGCAA